UCGAGGAUCUUCCGCAAUGGGCGAAAGCCUGACGGAGCGACACCGCGUGCAGGAUGAAGGCCUUCGGGUUGUAAACUGCUGUCACGCUAUAGGAAACCUCGAAUGUGAACAGCAUUCGAGCUGACUAAAGCGAGAGGAAGCACCGGCUAACUCUGUGCCAGCAGCCGCGGUAAUACAGAGGGUGCAAACGUUGCUCGGAAUCACUGGGCAUAAAGCGCAUGUAGGCGGUCUCCUAAGUCUGGUGUGAAAU
Molecule: ribosomal RNA, 250 nt
Filed under: uncultured bacterium
Lineage: Bacteria
Description: partial 16S ribosomal RNA
Rfam family: Bacterial small subunit ribosomal RNA
Source: RNAcentral